GAUGAACGCUGGCGGCGUGCCUAACACAUGCAAGUCGAACGAAGCGAUUUAACGGAAGUUUUCGGAUGGAAGUUGAAUUGACUGAGUGGCGGACGGGUGAGUAACGCGUGGGUAACCUGCCUUGUACUGGGGGACAACAGUUAGAAAUGACUGCUAAUACCGCAUAAGCGCACAGUAUCGCAUGAUACAGUGUGAAAAACUCCGGUGGUACAAGAUGGACCCGCGUCUGAUUAGCUAGUUGGUAAGGUAACGGCUUACCAAGGCGACGAUCAGUAGCCGACCUGAGAGGGUGACCGGCCACAUUGGGACUGAGACACGGCCCAAACUCCUACGGGAGGCAGCAGUGGGGAAUAUUGCACAAUGGGCGAAAGCCUGAUGCAGCGACGUCGCGUGAGUGAAGAAGUAUUUC
Molecule: ribosomal RNA, 409 nt
Filed under: uncultured bacterium
Lineage: Bacteria
Description: bacterial SSU rRNA
Rfam family: Bacterial small subunit ribosomal RNA
Source: RNAcentral